This 824-nucleotide ribosomal RNA is filed under the name uncultured organism. Its description in RNAcentral is "bacterial SSU rRNA". It matches the Rfam family "Bacterial small subunit ribosomal RNA", at positions 40 to 857 of the family's 1533-position model. The record is from RNAcentral.
CGGCGUGGAUUAGGCAUGCAAGUCGAACGAGCGAGGGUCUUCGGAUCCUCGCUAGUGGCGAACGGGUGAGUAAUGCAUGGAUACMUGCCCCGAUGACUGGGACAACCACUCGAAAGGGUGGCUAAUACCGGAUGUGAUCCUCACGGAUCAAAGCUGGCCUCUGUUUACAAGCUGGCGCAUUGGGAGGGGUUCAUGUGCUAUUAGCUAGUUGGUGAGGUAACGGCUCACCAAGGCUAUGAUGGCUAGCCGGCCUGAGAGGGUGUCCGGCCACACUGGGACUGAGAUACUGCCCAGACUCCUACGGGAGGCUGCAGUCGAGAAUCUUCCACCAAUGUGCGAAAGCAUGAUGGAGCGACGCCGCGUGGGCGAUGAAGGCCUUCGGGUUGUAAAGCCCUGUUGGAUGGGCGUAAUCCCUGGGGAUGAAUACUCCUCCAGGUUGAGCUCCCAUCGGAGGAAGCACCGGCUAAACUCGUGCCAGCAGCCGCGGUAAUACGAGUGGUGCGAGCGUUGUUCGGAAUUACUGGGCAUAAAGAGCACGUAGGCGGUCUGGUAAGUCUGCUGUGAAAUCCCCCGGCUCAACCGGGGAACUGCAGUUGAUACUGCUGGGCUAGAGUGCGGGAGGGGAGAGCGGAAUUCCUGGUGGAGCGGUGAUAUGCGUAGAUAUCAGGAGGAACGCCGGAGGCGAAAGCGGCUCUCUGGUCCGCAACUGACGCUGAGGUGCGAAAGCUAGGGGAGCGAACAGGAUUAGAUACCCUGGUAGUCCUAGCCGUAAACGAUGGGCACUAAGUGGAGGGGCUCCCAAGGCCUCUCUGCCGGAGCAAAUG